Non-coding RNA from Oryctolagus cuniculus (rabbit), 2895 nucleotides. Lineage: Eukaryota; Metazoa; Chordata; Mammalia; Lagomorpha; Leporidae. The record is from RefSeq and is a predicted model, not a curated record.
CGCCCCUGGCGCCGGGCUCCCAAUCCCGCUCUGCCCCAGGUGAGCGCCGGGCCGGCUGGAGAAACAGGAGCCAAAGAACUUGGCAGGCGGGCUGGGCCCUGGCCGUGCGGGGAAAACUGAGGAAGUCAGUGGCGCUGGAGCCCCCAGAGCCAUCCGGGAACGGUUCUCCUGGGAACCAGGCGUGGACACUCCCGGCGAGGCUGGGUGCCUCCAGCCCUGCCAGGUGCAGCCGCCUCAAAGCUUAACCAAGGCACAGCUGAAGAAAGACUGCAGAUACAAGGCACAGCAGCACAUGGAGGGAUGAGGUCAGGCGUCCUCAUGUGACCUGUGCUACGGAAUCGGAUCCCACUGUGCGGAUGGGCCACGUUGUGUCUCCCCAUUCACUCAUCAGUGGACGCCUGGGUUGCUUCCGUCUGGGGCUCUUGUCAGUCCUGCUGCUAUGAACGUGGUCUGCACAUCUGGAAGAGGCCAUAGGGUGAAUUCUGUUACAGUUUCUGAGCAACUCCCCUGCUGGCUCCCAUCAAAAGGGCACAAGGUUCCGGUUUCUCCACACCCUGCCUGUACUUCUUAUUUACUUUUUAGAGAUUGGCUUCUUUGAAAGGCAGAGUGACAGAGGAGGGGAGGGGAGAGGGAAGGGGAGAGAGAAAGACUUUUCCACUCACUGAGCCGGCCUUCACCAGGAUCUCCAUCCUGGUCUCCCGCGUGAACGGCAGUCAGGAACGCAAGCCCUGAGCCAUCAUGCACCGCUUCCCUGGGCUCUGCAGGAAGCUGGUUUAGAAGCAGAGGGCCUGGAACUCCAAGCAGCACUCGGAUACAGGAAGCUUGUGUCCCAGCUGGGUCACCCCCCUGAUAACUUGCUACUCGUUACUCAACUUUUCAGAUUUUGUGAACUUGAGGUGGCUACCUAUGGUUGCCAAAUAAGUCACCCCAAAACUUAGAGGCUUAAAAAAAAAUCAAGCGCUUCAUUAUCUCACUUGGUUUCUGAGGGCCUGGAACCUAAGGCUGACUAGAUUAGAUGGUUCAUUCAGUCUCUCCCACCCACCGCAGCUCCAAGCAACAACCGAUUUGCUUUCUGUCAUCAUUGAUUCACCUUCAUCUUCUAGAAUGUUCUAUAAGUGGAAUCAUACAGUGCAUGCGUUUAAAAAAGAUUUUAUUUAUUUAUUGGUCAUUUGGAAAAGCAGAGAGGGAGAGAGAUGGAGGGAGGGAGAGGGAGAGGGAGAUUCUUCCAUCCACUGGUUCACUCCCGAAAUGCUUGCAAUAGACAGGGCUGGGCCAGGAUUUGGGAAUUUAAUCCAGGCCUCUCACAUGGGUGGCAGGGACCCAAGUACUUGAACCAUCAUCUGCUGCCUUCCAGGGUGUGCAUUAGCAGGAAACUGGAUCAGAAGCAGAGCUGGCAAACCUAGACAUUCCAGUAUGGGAUGCAGGCACCCCAAGCAGCAUUUUUUUAAAAAGGGUUUUAUUUGAAAAGCAGAGUUACAGAGAAUCUUCCAUCUGCUAUUCACCCUCUGGCAAAGGCCAGAGCUGGGCCAGUCCAAAGCCAGGAGCCAGGAGCUUCUUCCAGGUCUCCUAUGUGGGUUGCAGGAGCCCAAGGACUUGGGCCAUCUUCUGCUACUUUCCCAGGCACAUUAGCAGGGAACUGCAUUGGAAGCAGAGCAGCUGGGACUUGAACCAGCAUCCAUACGGGAUGCUUGUGUCAGAGUCGGCGGCUUUACCAGCAGGCCCUCCGAGCACCAUCUUGACCACUGUACCAAACACCCAGCCAUAGGCAAAGCGCUCGUAUGGAGAAAGCUCUCAGCACGCUCUGGUUAAAACUGUGUCUCUUCUCUCAGUUCUUCAAGUGCCAAGCCCUCCUCCCACCUCCCGUGCACAGAAGCCCCCUGAGUCCCAGGCGGGGAUGAGUUGCCUGUGUAGGUGUGGGCAGGUCUGUGUGCAUGGGUGUGCUUUGGCAGUGGGAGCUGGUUGUUUGGGAUGGAGUGGGGAGUGAGGCCGUGUGUCGGCAGGUGUGUGAUGUAGGCAGGAGCACAACAAGGAGUUUGCAGAGGGUACUUGGCCAGACAAGGGGAUCAGGCCAGACCCUCAAGGAUAAGGGAGGCUUGUCAGGGCAUCUUCAGAUUCUCACCCACCCCACCACAGUCACCUCUCAGGCCCUCCAUGCUGGCUGGCGAAGUCACCAAAAUGACACCCUCUGUCCAGCUGUGUCGGGGCCCUGGGACAGGGUCAUCUCUGUUCUUUCAUAUACUAAAUUUAUUUUUUUUUAUUUGAAAGACACAGAGGAUUCUUCCAGGGACUGGCUGGCUCAUUCCCUAAAUAGCCUCAACUGCCAGGGCUGGGCCCGCCCAAGGCCAGGAGCCAGGAGCUCCAUCCAGGUCUCCCAAGCGGCUGCCAGGGGCCCAGACACCUGGGUCACCUUCUGCUUUUCCAGGCCAUAAGCAGAGAGCUGGAUGGGAGGCAGAUCACAGGGCGCUAGGCUGUGGGAUGCUAGCCUUGCAGGUGGCGGCUUAACCCGCUGUGCCCGCCCCCAGUCACUUGCUCUCAGCCCUCUUGGCUCCUCCAUAAUCUUGUCCCCACAAAGCCUGCUCUACCAGGGCUGCCUUCGCUGAUUUGACCUCCCCUGAGCCUGGACCUGCGGUGCCCUGCGAAGCACCCCCCUCCCGUUCGGUCCUUGCCUUCCGUCUUUCUCCAAUCUCUGUGGCACCCCCACAUUCCCAGGGCUGUGUGCUUUCAACUGUCCCCCACUCCCUACCGGCUGUAUGUGUUGUGUGUGGGUCCCCUAGGGUCUGGAAAAAGCCAGAGGCAGAUGCUGCCAGGGACCCCGAGUAGCCAGACCUCUGCCGUCUCCCAGGCUAGGACAGGGACAUCGAUUGGCCGGAUUGGUGCGCUGGGGGGGGGUGGGGG